RNAcentral lists this long non-coding RNA (1116 nucleotides) under Homo sapiens (human). RNAcentral's name for it is "HSALNT0043724". Lineage: Eukaryota; Metazoa; Chordata; Mammalia; Primates; Hominidae. The record is from RNAcentral.
CUCAAAUGGGAAACUGCACAUGAGAGAAGAUUUGCCUGCCUUCUCACCAGUGGGAGCUGUGCCGGGUCCACUGCAGUAUGACAUUCAAAGUCAUUCUAAUUACCUCCCUUGCAAUGCAAUUCACCUUUUGGGUUCCCAGUCAAGGUGAGGAGAGGAGGUGAAGAUGAGAGGAGAGGAUAUUUGUAACAAAAUAUUAGGUUUUCAAGAGCUUUCACCUGCUUUUUAGCAGUAGAAUCCUUUUGUAAAUGCAAUCAUACUCAGAACCUCAAUAUACAAAGUUCAUAAAAUCAGAACCUUUCUUAUCUAAGUUUUGAAAGCAGACCCAAAACACUGUCAGCUCGACUUUCUCCAGGUACUCUAAAGUUGUCAGUUAAAAAACACUGAUCUUUUAGCAGUUUCUUAUAAAGCUCAAUGUAGUCUUACCAUAUGAUCCAGAAAUCGUGCUCCUGUUUACCUAAAUGAGUUGAAAAUUUAUGUCCACACAAAAACCUGCACACAAAUGUUAACAGGAGCUUUGUUGAUAAUUAGCAACAAUUGGGAGCAAAUAAGAUGACCUUCAGUAGGUAACUGGAUAAACAAACUGUGAUACUAAAUACAUCCAUACCAUGCAAUGGUGUUCAGCAAUAAAAUGAAAUGAGCUACAAAGCCAUAAAAAUACCUAGAGGAACCUCGAAUGCAUAUUACUAAGUGAAAGAAGCCAGUCUGAAAAGGCUUCAUACUGUAUAUGCCAACUAUGUGACAUUCUGAAGAAGGCAAAACUACAGAGACAAUUAAAAGAUCAUUGGUUGCCAGGGGUUGGGAGGCAAGUGAACAUAAUAAAUAGGUGGAACAUAGAGGAUUUUUAAAGCAGUAACCCUAUUCUGUAACAUACUGUAAUGGUGUAUACCUGGCAUUGUGCAUUUGUCAAAACCUACAGAAUGUAUAACACCAAGAGUAAACCCUAAUGUAAGCUAUGGAUUUUAAAGAUAAUGUUAAUAUAUCAAGAUUGUUUCAUCAAUUGUAAAAACUGUACCACACCAAUGCAAAGUGUUAAUGAUAGGGGAAAUGAAAGCAAGGAGAAUGGGCGUAUAUGGGAGCUCUCUGCACUCUCUGCUCAAUUUUUUUGUAAAGCCAAAA